This is a long non-coding RNA of Panicum virgatum (switchgrass), 608 nucleotides long. RefSeq lists it as uncharacterized. The record is from RefSeq and is a predicted model, not a curated record. Lineage: Eukaryota; Viridiplantae; Streptophyta; Magnoliopsida; Poales; Poaceae. The transcript is spliced from 2 exons.
UCGUUUCCUGCAACCCCAUUUUCCUUCUCCAUUUCCUCUUCCUUCCCCCUCCCUAUUUUUUCUAGGGUGUGCUUACUUCUUAGAAUAGAUCUUGUGAAAUUGAUGAUUUCUUCCCCUGCUCCUCCCCGGUGUAGUCCUCCGACACCAUCUUUCGAUUGCUGAUGGCAUCUCCUCCCUUCCACAGACACUGGAGGUUUUCUGCCACCAAGCUGAACAAAGCAAGGAUAGGGUUACCAAUAAAGAUCCUAUUCUUUCUGAUUGGAUUUUAUUGUGCGACGGCCUUUGCUACUGUCAUCUCCUUAUAUUCAUAAAAGUUGUAUGUCAGGUUAAUGUCAUUUUCAGGCUUCAACAUACUUGGGUAAUCUGCUCAGCAAAAUGUAUGGUUAGUCAAUCACGGGGAUGUGGGCAUGUGUUCAUUUGAAUGCUCGGAAUAAUAACUAGCAUUAUGUUCUGCCAUGCUAGAACUGCUUUCAUUAGUUAAUUUAGCCAAGCUAUUUGUAGCAGUUAAUCAAUCAUAAAGCCUAGAACUGCUUUUAUUAGUUAAUUUGGCCAAGCUACUUGUAGCACUUAAUCAAUCAUAAAGCAGUUCUAUAUGUGCCACAAAGCAA